GGUUGGCUUGCACCUGGCAGGCAGCUAUGCAAGCUGUUGCUAGGUAGCUCUUGGGUGGAGCCUAGCAGAAUUAUCCCUAAGCCAACGGCGCAGGCUUUUGUAAAUUAACAAUGUGCAAUAAAUUCCCUGGGUGAAGCUUAGCCAAGGACAGAGAGAAACUUGGCUUUUCUGCCCUCAAUCUAGCUGCUGGGUUUGCCCCUGACCCACAGCAGUGUGACCUAUCAGGGGUCUCAGAAACCCUGGGGACUGCAGCCACCUCUCAUGGGAUCCAGCCAACUUCAUGGGCACCUGGCAGAGGGUAACAAGACGAGUAUGUAGCCACCUGUAUAGCUACUGCGUCUAGACCGGCUUAUUCUCACUGAACAGCCGGGGGGCUGGUAGCUGUCCUGAGAAGACAACGGACAGAUCCAUGGAAAUGCUUAAAUCUCAAGGCUGCCGAAGCAGGGUGGGGGAUUAACUUUGGAAAUGUUGCUAUGUAAAUGGUUUAAAUGAACAGUGCCUUUGGAGCAGCCUCUGCUGAUCGAUCUGUUUAACCAAAGGAGAGAAGAAAAAUUGGUGACUGAAGCCAAAAUUCUUACUUGGCACCAGCACAGAAGAGCCUGCAACAGACAAGCCGGUUUGUCAGAAACCCCAGGGAUUUCCGACUUACCUUUGUCCAGAAAUGUCCUCUGCCUCUAUCUACCUGUCUGUCUCUGUGUCGUUUUAGUUUUUUUUUUUUUUCUUUUUCAACUCUAGUGUUACCUCUUUCCUCUCUCAAACAGAAGCAUUUGACAUUAUUUUGGGCGGUCAUAUAACAACUGAGAACAGUUGCUUUUUUUUUUUUUUUCCUACAGAUACGUAUUACUCUGAUCUACCUAUAGAUGUCACUGUUCAUUUAUGAUAAAUCAUCCCCGGAGCUCAGGCAAUUACCUCGGCUAAAAUAACAAGCGUGUUUUCUGGAAAUAAAAUAACCAGCAAGUACCGAGAGAGAGAGGCAUUUUCUCUCGCAGGUGUCUCCAAAUCAAAGCUGAGUCCCUCUGGGCAAUUCACUCUGCAAGGGAGGCAAGUCGGCUUGCAGUUUGUACUGCGCCAUGGCCAGGGAGCCUUGGAUUCUCCCUGUCAUUCUCCUGAUGGCCAGGAAAAAAUAAGCUGGUAUGUAUUCCGGCGAAUGCAGGAAAUUAUCACUAGAAAGUAGCUUUAACAGAACGGAUUAGGAAAGUGAUGACCUUUUGGCAAGGACCUGUAAAUGUGGUCAAGAAAUGGGUGCACUCUGCUAGAAGAAAGCAUCCUCCUACAUUGCCUUCAAGAGCAGUUCCUCAGAAUCAACACCAGUAAAAUUCAAAACCAGAGAAGGACUCAGCAUUGCUGUCCACCAGUCUCUUCCAGAUAAAGGUCUCACUGUGUGCUCCACUGCUCUCCAAUUCUGCUUCAGCCCCCAAGGGCUGGGAUCGCAGGUAUGCACUGCUGUUUCCUUCUGCACCAAGUAGACUUCAAUCACUAAUAAUUUUCAUGUUAAUUAGGAAAACCAUUAGUAUUUAGAAACUUGCAUCUUUCAAGAAAUAAAUUUUUUUUUUUGUUUUUAUAACCGAGUUAC
Long non-coding RNA from Mus spicilegus (steppe mouse), 1573 nucleotides. The record is from Ensembl. NCBI's taxonomy places the organism in Eukaryota, Metazoa, Chordata, Mammalia, Rodentia, Muridae.